RNAcentral lists this long non-coding RNA (2467 nucleotides) under Mus musculus (house mouse). RNAcentral's name for it is "long non-coding RNA chr14:49220897-49223364". The record is from RNAcentral. Lineage: Eukaryota; Metazoa; Chordata; Mammalia; Rodentia; Muridae.
AUUGGUGAGGUGUGAAAUAUUAAGUACUUUUGUUCUUGCUAAAUUGAAAGAUUGCAUACUCUAGCUCCUAAUGGGAAGUAUUCCUGUUACAGGCCCUUACGUCUAUUUUUCUAACACUACCAUGAUCAUGCCAAGGUUUUUUUUAAAAAUUCUUUUCUUUUGUUUUGUUUUUUUGGUGUAUCUUGUCUUAUUCCUUUACCUCCAGAUGACCCGUAUCUUUGUUUAGAAUGUGCUUCUUGAAAAGAGUAUAGAGGUGCUUCUGGCUCCUCUCCAGUCUCCCAUCUCCAAAUUUAAACCAUGUUAUUAACUACUUACCUUUAGUAUGGUUUUUGGUACCAUUAGGCUUGAAUCUGGGACCUUAUUGUUUGAAUUUCUUAGUUUUAUUAGCCCCCCCCCCCGCUGGAUUUAAAAAAUGAUUAGAUUUUUCUUUGUCUUAUUGGCUUUUAGUUUAGUGGUAGUGACAGUUUAUAGUUUCUCUCUGUCUCUGUCUUUCUGUCUUUCUGUCUUUGUCUCUGUCUCUGUCUCUCUCUCUCUCUGUGUGUGUAGACUAGGCUGGCCAUGCUUAGAAUGGAACUUGCUGUCUCUGCCUCCCCAGUGUUGUGUUAACAAAUACAAACCACUUUGCUGGACUUUUUGAGUGUAGGUCAUAGGGGUUGAACUCUGGUCAUUAGGCUCGAUGGCACAAGUGCUUUUAACCUGCAGAGACAUUUCACUGGCUCCCAGACAACUUCUUUAUUACUCUUGCACAUUGCUGUCAUAUGUCUAGGUGAGCUCAUUACCAAUGGAUGACUGACGUUUGUUUGUUCAUCAUUCAACAAUAUGUAACUGCAAGUUGUAGCUGUUAGGGUCUACAUAAAAUAUUAAGGCCUAGAUGGAAUGUUAAAGCCUAGGUAAAAUGUUAAGGCCUAGGUAACAGUGACCUGGCGAGUCUGCCAUUAUACAGAAACUUUCUCUUAUGUUUCUGCUGUUACUAGGAAACUUUCUAUGCCAAGAUUGACUAUAUUUUCUGUUACGUUCUGUGCCCUUGGAAACCAAUCAUGAUAGAUGUCAGAACUGUUUUGCAUAGUUACCCACAAUAAGCUUUGACAGGAACCAACCACCCAACCCACUUCCUGCACCUAUGUAUAAGUUUUUAUGGUAUUUGUCUUUAUAAGCUGCCUCUGGGAUGAAUCCCAACAUAAGAUAGACAUGUGCACCAAUAAAAUAAAUUAUUUGGACUAAGACUUCCAGUUUGAGUAGUGACAGAGUAAAGUGAAGUGAAGACUUCUGGUUUCUUUGGAAAGUCAGUUAUGUCAAAUGAUGUUUUGCUGGGGCACACAGGUAAAAACAGACACAUGAAAGGACACAUGAUGUUUAGAAGGAAUAUAAUACAACCCAACAGGCAGUGGUGAUGCUGGGUGGUGUUGGUAUGCUUUACCAUUGUUUAUUGGUCACUGUUUGUCAUGUCUCCACCAAGAGAAACAGACCAAAAAACUUCUGGUGGUGGUCUGGCAGCUUCUUGCUGCUUCCAAGGACUCAGGCCAAUUGGCAAACUGAAGUGAAAGUUUCUGGUUAUGUCAGCUGAUACAGACUCACUUGGAGUUUUACUAAGGCAAACUCAUCAGAAGUUUUGCUGAGGCAAGACCCAUGGGAAGUAAGACCUGUGGGAGGACAUGUGAUGUUCAGAAGGAGUAUAAAUAGGACUCAAUGGAGAGAUUGCAUAGCUAGCUUUGCAGUGCUUCGUUGAUCUCGAGGCUUCAUCUUCACUUCAUUGAGAGCAUGGCAGAGAACUUUUCCUGGUGUCCCUGCUGGUCCUGAUCAAUCUUGCUGACUUGUGCUAAUUUGGUGGAGGCCUGGCUGUUUCUGCUAGGCCAUGUCACCAUUGCUACUGGUAUCCUGACAAUUAGAGAUUGAAAUAGCCGCACGGAACUACUACUAACCAGCAGGCAUCAGAACCUUGCUGCUGCUUCUGGAUCAAGCAGCCAUUGCUGAUUUGUGUGAACUGAACUGCUGAGAUCCUGGCAAUGGAAACUACUUCUAAACAGGUCCAUUUCCCCCUGGAAGGUGGGUGGUGGGCUAGAAUGGAAGUUAAAGCAUUUAGGAACCCUUAUUAAAAAUAGGGUUUGAAAAAAAAAUUAAGCUUACAGUAAGUUUAAGUUCCCAAGACCUCCGUUGGAACUGACAUUCUACUUGGUAGAAAAAGACAUGUUUGUAGGUAACUAACAUCCUGGUUAGAUGAGGCAAGUCCCCUGCCACAGUUGAAUACCCCAACCAAUAGAAACGGGAUCAAUGCACGACAAAGACAUGUUUCUAAGGGAAUUCCCUAUCCCCAAAUCCUGAUUGGUGGAAUAACAUGGCACAGAUGUUUGUGGAUUUUAGGUAUAAAAGCCCUGUAGAAUCAAAGUCGUGGUUCAGUUCGUGAAUCUGGACCAUAGCCCUGGUCAACUGGUCCUGGGGUAUAUGCUCAAUAAACUAUCCUUGUGUUACU